CAAUCAAGUCUUCAACAAAUAGGCAUGUUAAAGAAUCCAAAUAUUGUUUACUAAAAAAAGAAUGAAGUUUGGUUUUCAAAAUUUUAAGUUAAGAGAAUACUCUUUCACACUUAAUUUGGGUGCAUGCAAGUAUGAGAACAUAUUUAAAUACUAUGUACACUGUGUUAUGUUGAAUAAUCCAUAUUUUGUUGUUAGUUCAAAAAGGAUUUUAAACACAUUCGCAAAACAGUUAUACACAGUCUAGUACACAGUCAGUUAGUUACAGUCUUGUUGUUUUAAACGAUCAUCGUUUUCUUUCUCAGAAUCUUUUAGUAUUAAAUCUUCUGUUAUAUCAUUAGUCUCGCUGUACACAGAUCUCCACGAGGUAGAAAAGCUUUGAUAUUGUUCAGUAAAUUGUUUAAGUUCAAUAAAUAAUGUUUUUCUGUCUAUGCAAGCUAAUUCAGAUAAUUUAUGUGUCAUGCAUUUAACGGACAAUCGUCUAUUGAAAGUAAAGUUAUUUC
Non-coding RNA from Cinara cedri, 500 nucleotides. Lineage: Eukaryota; Metazoa; Arthropoda; Insecta; Hemiptera; Aphididae. The record is from the annotation of a GenBank genome assembly.